RNAcentral lists this ribosomal RNA (406 nucleotides) under uncultured bacterium. RNAcentral's name for it is "partial 16S ribosomal RNA". It matches the Rfam family "Bacterial small subunit ribosomal RNA", at positions 30 to 526 of the family's 1533-position model. The record is from RNAcentral.
AUUGAACGCUGGCGGCAGGCCUAACACAUGCAAGUCGAACGAGUGGCGGACGGGUGAGUAAUGUCUGGGAACCCCCCCUACGGAUGGGGAUAACUACUGGAACCGGUAGCUAUUACCGCAUACCAUCAGAUUUUCCCAGAUGGGAUUAGCGUGUUGGUGAGUUAACGGCUCACCAAGGCGACGAUCCCUAGCUGGUCUGAGAGGGUGACCGGCCACACUGGAACUGAGACACGGUCCAGACUCCUACGGGAGGCAGCAGUGGGGAAUAUUGCACAAUGGGCGAAAGCCUGAUGCAGCAAUGCCGCGUGUAUGAAGAAGGCCUGCGGGUUGUAAAGUACUUUCAGCGGGGAGGCGUUACCCGCAGAAGAAGCACCGGCUAACUCCGUGCCAGCAGCCGCGGUAAUUC